RNAcentral lists this transfer RNA (76 nucleotides) under Afipia sp. P52-10. RNAcentral describes it as "tRNA-Ala". It matches the Rfam family "tRNA". Rfam says of the family: Transfer RNA (tRNA) molecules are approximately 80 nucleotides in length. Their secondary structure includes four short double-helical elements and three loops (D, anti-codon, and T loops). RNAcentral also lists the same sequence under 15 other names. The record is from RNAcentral. Lineage: Bacteria; Pseudomonadati; Pseudomonadota; Alphaproteobacteria; Hyphomicrobiales; Nitrobacteraceae.
GGGGCCAUAGCUCAGUUGGGAGAGCGCGUGAAUGGCAUUCACGAGGUCAGGGGUUCGACUCCCCUUGGCUCCACCA